GACGAACGUUGGCGGCGUGCUUAACACAUGCAAGUCGAACGGAAAGGCCCUGCUUUUGUGGGGUGCUCGAGUGGCGAACGGGUGAGUAACACGUGAGUAACCUGCCCUUGACUUUGGGAUAACUUCAGGAAACUGGGGCUAAUACCGGAUAGGAGCUCCUGCUGCAUGGUGGGGGUUGGAAAGUUUCGGCGGUUGGGGAUGGACUCGCGGCUUAUCAGCUUGUUGGUGGGGUAGUGGCUUACCAAGGCUUUGACGGGUAGCCGGCCUGAGAGGGUGACCGGCCAUAUUGGGACUGAGAUACGGCCCAGACUCCUACGGGAGGCAGCAGUGGGGAAUAUUGCACAAUGGGCGGAAGCCUGAUGCAGCAACGCCGCGUGCGGGGUGACGGCCUUCGGGUUGUAAACCGCUUUCGCCUGUGACGAAGCGUGAGUGACGGUAAUGGGUAAAGAAGCACCGGCUAACUACGUGCCAGCAGCCGCGGUGAUACGUAGGGUGCGAGCGUUGUCCGGAUUUAUUGGGCGUAAAGGGCUCGUAGGUGGUUGAUCGCGUCGGAAGUGUAAUCUUGGGGCUUAACCCUGAGCGUGCUUUCGAUACGGGUUGACUUGAGGAAGGUAGGGGAGAAUGGAAUUCCUGGUGGAGCGGUGGAAUGCGCAGAUAUCAGGAGGAACACCAGUGGCGAAGGCGGUUCUCUGGGCCUUUCCUGACGCUGAGGAGCGAAAGCGUGGGGAGCGAACAGGCUUAGAUACCCUGGUAGUCCACGCUGUAAACGGUGGGUACUAGGUGUGGGGUCCAUUCCACGGGUUCCGUGCCGUAGCUAACGCUUUAAGUACCCCGCCUGGGGAGUACGGCCGCAAGGCUAAAACUCAAAGGAAUUGACGGGGCCCCGCACAAGCGGCGGAGCAUGCGGAUUAAUUCGAUGCAACGCGUAGAACCUUACCUGGGUUUGACAUGGAUCGGGAGUGCUCAGAGAUGGGUGUGCCUCUUUUGGGGUCGGUUCACAGGUGGUGCAUGGCUGUCGUCAGCUCGUGUCGUGAGAUGUUGGGUUAAGUCCCGCAACGAGCGCAACCCUUGUUCACUGUUGCCAGCACGUUAUGGUGGGGACUCAGUGGAGACCGCCGGGGUCAACUCGGAGGAAGGUGGGGAUGACGUCAAGUCAUCAUGCCCCUUAUGUCCAGGGCUUCACGCAUGCUACAAUGGCUGGUACAGAGAGUGGCGAGCCUGUGAGGGUGAGCGAAUCUCGGAAAGCCGGUCUCAGUUCGGAUUGGGGUCUGCGACUCGACCUCAUGAAGUCGGAGUCGCUAGUAAUCGCAGAUCAGCAACGCUGCGGCGAAUACGUUCCCGGG
This 1343-nucleotide ribosomal RNA is filed under the name uncultured bacterium. RNAcentral's name for it is "16S ribosomal RNA". It matches the Rfam family "Bacterial small subunit ribosomal RNA", at positions 28 to 1378 of the family's 1533-position model. The record is from RNAcentral.